RNAcentral lists this ribosomal RNA (266 nucleotides) under uncultured bacterium. Its description in RNAcentral is "partial 16S ribosomal RNA". It matches the Rfam family "Bacterial small subunit ribosomal RNA", at positions 332 to 596 of the family's 1533-position model. The record is from RNAcentral.
CGGGCCCUACGGGAGGCAGCAGUGAGGAAUAUUGGUCAAUGGGCGCGAGCCUGAACCAGCCAAGUAGCGUGAAGGAUGACUGCCCUACGGGUUGUAAACUUCUUUUAUAAAGGAAUAAAGUGAUGCACGUGUGCCUUUUUGUAUGUACUUUAUGAAUAAGGAUCGGCUAACUCCGUGCCAGCAGCCGCGGUAAUACGGAGGAUCCGAGCGUUAUCCGGAUUUAUUGGGUUUAAAGUGAGCGUAGAUGGGUUGUUAAGUCAGUUGUG